GGGAGCCCAGAUGAGCUGUUUGCAGCAUCUCUGCUCCAUGUUUUGAGUAGGUAGGGCCGAGCAAGGCAGUGUCAUUUCGAGGCCCCAGGCAGAAGCCUCCAAGGAUACCACACAUACCUACUCCAGCCCCAGAUGGAGCCACAGGGUUGGGUCUCCAGCUCCCAGCAGCUGUCAGCUACCAUCAGCUGUACCCAGGAAACCUGCAUGACGCCUGACUCAGGCUGGUGCCACCCGGAGCCCAAUUGAGGCAGAUUCUGCAGUUUCACAUCCUAGGAUUCUACCCCAACAUUGUGCAGCGGGUCUCUCCCCGCCUGUCGGCAGGCCGGCCUCGCUGGGAACACCCACAAAUCAAAACGGAACAAAAUAAAAUAAAACGGCACGAGGUUCUC
This is a long non-coding RNA of Erinaceus europaeus (western European hedgehog), 389 nucleotides long. RefSeq lists it as uncharacterized. The transcript has 3 exons. Lineage: Eukaryota; Metazoa; Chordata; Mammalia; Eulipotyphla; Erinaceidae. The record is from RefSeq and is a predicted model, not a curated record.